This 590-nucleotide ribosomal RNA is filed under the name Aspergillus sojae. RNAcentral describes it as "eukaryotic LSU rRNA". It matches the Rfam family "Eukaryotic large subunit ribosomal RNA", at positions 42 to 647 of the family's 3401-position model. Lineage: Eukaryota; Fungi; Ascomycota; Eurotiomycetes; Eurotiales; Aspergillaceae. The record is from RNAcentral.
AUCAAUAAGCGGAGGAAAAGAAACCAACCGGGAUUGCCUCAGUAACGGCGAGUGAAGCGGCAAGAGCUCAAAUUUGAAAGCUGGCUCCUUCGGGGUCCGCAUUGUAAUUUGCAGAGGAUGCUUCGGGUGCGGCCCCUGUCUAAGUGCCCUGGAACGGGCCGUCAGAGAGGGUGAGAAUCCCGUCUGGGAUGGGGUGUCCGCGCCCGUGUGAAGCUCCUUCGACGAGUCGAGUUGUUUGGGAAUGCAGCUCUAAAUGGGUGGUAAAUUUCAUCUAAAGCUAAAUACUGGCCGGAGACCGAUAGCGCACAAGUAGAGUGAUCGAAAGAUGAAAAGCACUUUGAAAAGAGAGUUAAAAAGCACGUGAAAUUGUUGAAAGGGAAGCGCUUGCGACCAGACUCGCCUCCAGGGUUCAGCCGGCAUUCGUGCCGGUGUACUUCCCUGGGGGCGGGCCAGCGUCGGUUUGGGCGGCCGGUCAAAGGCUCCCGGAAUGUAGUGCCCUCCGGGGCACCUUAUAGCCGGGAGUGCAAUGCGGCCAGCCUGGACCGAGGAACGCGCUUCGGCACGGACGCUGGCAUAAUGGUCGUAAACGA